ACGACAGACCGCAACAUAUAGGGCAGGCCAAAUAACAUUUAUUUUGAUUUUUAUUUUUUUUAGUUUCAUAUAUAUUACUAGUCAUAUUUACCUAGUAAAGUCUUACAUUUAUAUGUAUGUAAAAGUUUUUAAUAGUUAAUAACUUUGAAAAAGUAUGCAACCUUUUAGAUAAAACUAGUUUGGUCAACACCAUUUGUGGAAAAUCUGAACAGUAAAUCUAAAAUAUUGGGUAUUUAUAUCCAAAAUAUUAACUACUGCAUCCAAAAUGUCAUAUAUAUUUUUUUAAUAUUUCAGGUCCAAACUAUUCAAUCACUCAUCCAUCCCCUUCCAUCAAAUAUUGUUUGAUGUCAGGGGUAUGGCUGGCUGGUUUGGUCCCUAUGCAAAG
Molecule: long non-coding RNA, 385 nt
Filed under: Sorghum bicolor (sorghum)
Lineage: Eukaryota; Viridiplantae; Streptophyta; Magnoliopsida; Poales; Poaceae
Description: long non-coding RNA (SBIC_LNC003847)
Source: RNAcentral